Molecule: ribosomal RNA, 292 nt
Filed under: uncultured bacterium
Lineage: Bacteria
Description: partial 16S ribosomal RNA
Rfam family: Bacterial small subunit ribosomal RNA
Source: RNAcentral
GUGCCAGCAGCCGCGGUAAUACGGAGGGGGCGAGCGUUAUUCGGAAUUAUUGGGCGUAAAGGGCAGGUAGGCGGCCGCGUGUGUCCUCUGUGAAAUCCCUCGGCUUAACCGGGGAACUGCAGGGGAAACUACGUGGCUUGAGUCCGGGAGAGGAGAGCGGAAUUCCCAGUGUAGCGGUGAAAUGCGUAGAUACUGGGAGGAACACCGGUGGCGAAGGCGGCUCUCUGGACCGGUACUGACGCUGAGCUGCGAAAGCUAGGGGAGCAAACGGGAUUAGAUACCCUUGUAGUCC